GCUGGGCAUGGUGGUGCAUGCCUGUAAUCCCAGCUACUCGGGGGGCUGAGGUGGGAGAAUUGCUUGAACCUGGGAGGCGAAGACUGCAGUGAGCCGAGAUCGUGCCACUGCACUCCACUCUGGGUGACAGAGCAAGACUCCGUCUCAA
Molecule: non-coding RNA, 148 nt
Organism: Chlorocebus sabaeus (green monkey)
Lineage: Eukaryota; Metazoa; Chordata; Mammalia; Primates; Cercopithecidae
Rfam family: Metazoan signal recognition particle RNA
About the family: The signal recognition particle (SRP) is a universally conserved ribonucleoprotein.
Source: Rfam